RNAcentral lists this ribosomal RNA (347 nucleotides) under uncultured Methanosaeta sp. RNAcentral describes it as "bacterial SSU rRNA". It matches the Rfam family "Archaeal small subunit ribosomal RNA", at positions 991 to 1338 of the family's 1478-position model. The record is from RNAcentral. Lineage: Archaea; Methanobacteriati; Methanobacteriota; Methanomicrobia; Methanotrichales; Methanotrichaceae.
UGCAUGGCCGUCGUCAGUUCGUACUGUGAAGCAUCCUGUUAAGUCAGGCAACGAGCGAGACCCACGCCCACAGUUGCCAGCGUACUCUCUGGAGUGACGGGUACACUGUGGGACCGCCGCUGCUAAAGCGGAGGAAGGAAUGGGCAACGGUAGGUCAGUAUGCCCCGAAUAUCCCGGGCUACACGCGAGCUACAAUGGUUGGUACAAUGGGUAUCUACCCCGAAAGGGGACGGGAAUCUCCUAAAACCAAUCUUAGUUCGGAUUGAGGGCUGCAACUCGCCCUCAUGAAGCUGGAAUCCGUAGUAAUCGCGUUUCAACAGAACGCGGUGAAUACGUCCCUGCUCCUU